Molecule: ribosomal RNA, 508 nt
Filed under: uncultured bacterium
Lineage: Bacteria
Description: bacterial SSU rRNA
Rfam family: Bacterial small subunit ribosomal RNA
Source: RNAcentral
AGGCGUCAGGAUGAACGCUAGCGACAGGCCUAACACAUGCAAGUCGAGGGGCGAGCACAAGGAGCAAUCUGAGGUGGCGACCGGCGCACGGGUGAGUAACACGUAUGCAACCUGCCUGUAAGCGGGGAAGUAACCCGUUGAAAGACGGACUAAUACCGCAUAAUACUAAAUUACUGCAUGGUAAUUUAUUUAAACAUUUAUGGCUUACAGAUGGGCAUGCGCAUGAUUAGCUAGUUGGAGAGGUAACGGCUCCCCAAGGCAACGAUCAUUAGGGGUUCUGAGAGGAAGGUCCCCCCACACUGGUACUGAGACACGGACCAGACUCCUACGGGAGGCAGUAGUGAGGAAUAUUGGUCAAUGGACGAGAGUCUGAACCAGCCAAGUCGCGUGCAGGAAGAAUGUCCCUAUGGAUUGUAAACUGCUUUUGCAGGGGAAUAAAGUGCAUCACGUGUGAUGUUUUGUAUGUACUCUGCGAAUAAGGAUCGGCUAACUCCGUGCCAGCAGCCGC